This 460-nucleotide ribosomal RNA is filed under the name uncultured bacterium. Its description in RNAcentral is "partial 16S ribosomal RNA". It matches the Rfam family "Bacterial small subunit ribosomal RNA", at positions 338 to 795 of the family's 1533-position model. The record is from RNAcentral.
CCUACGGGAGGCAGCAGUGAGGAAUAUUGGUCAAUGGACGCAAGUCUGAACCAGCCAUGCCGCGUGCAGGAAGACGGCUCUAUGAGUUGUAAACUGCUUUUGUACGAGGGUAAACGCAGAUACGUGUAUCUGUCUGAAAGUAUCGUACGAAUAAGGAUCGGCUAACUCCGUGCCAGCAGCCGCGGUAAUACUGAGGAUUCAAGCGUUAUCCGGAUUUAUUGGGUUUAAAGGGUGCGUAGGCGGUCGGAUAAGUUAUCGGUGAAAUUCCGAGGCUCAACUUCGGAAUUGCAGCUGAUACUGUUCGGCUAGAGAGUAGUUGCGGUAGGCGGAAUGUAUGGUGUAGCGGUGAAAUGCUUAGAGAUCAUACAGAACACCGAUGGCGAAGGCAGCUUACCAAGCUACUUCUGACGUUGAGGCACGAAAGCGUGGGGAGCAAACAGGAUUAGAUACCCGGGUAGUC